Molecule: unclassified non-coding RNA, 325 nt
Filed under: soil metagenome
Description: partial contains 5.8S ribosomal RNA, internal transcribed spacer 2, and large subunit ribosomal RNA
Rfam family: 5.8S ribosomal RNA (bases 1-120)
Source: RNAcentral
GAUGAAGAACGUAGCGAAAUGCGAUAAGUAAUGUGAAUUGCAGAAUUCAGUGAAUCAUCGAAUCUUUGAACGCACAUUGCGCCCCUUGGUAUUCCGGGGGGCAUGCCUGUUCGAGCGUCAUUAUAACCCCCAAGCCUAGCUUGGUGUUGGAGCAUGCUACCUAAGCAGCUCUUAAAAUCAGUGGCAGUGCCCUUCGGCUCUAAGCGUAGUAACUUCUCUCGCUAUGGAACCCGGAGGGUACGCGCCAGAACCCCCAACUUUCUAUGGUUGACCUCGGAUCAGGUAGGGAUACCCGCUGAACUUAAGCAUAUCAAUAAGCGGAGGA